GAUUUCUGAUGCGACCUGCCUGGCCCGCCGUGGUUACACGUGUGAGUGCCGGGUGUUGUCCGUCUGUCUUCCUAUGACUCGCCGCCCUCUUCACUGAGUGGUGGUGGAGUUGUGGGAUCUUUUACUUUGAACAAAUUAGAGUGUUUCAAGCAGGCUUCUGCCAUGAAUACAUUAGCAUGGAAUAAUCAUUUAGGACUUCGGUUCUAUUUUGUUGGUUUCGAGAGCUGAAGUAAUGAUUGAUAGGGAUAGUUGGGGGUGCUAGUAUUCAGAGGCCAGAGGUGAAAUUCUUGGAUUCUCUGAAGACUAACUUAUGCGAAAGCAUU
This 323-nucleotide ribosomal RNA is filed under the name uncultured Allapsidae. RNAcentral's name for it is "SSU rRNA". The stretch from base 115 to 323 matches the Rfam family "Eukaryotic small subunit ribosomal RNA", at positions 745 to 955 of the family's 1831-position model. The record is from RNAcentral. Lineage: Eukaryota; Cercozoa; Glissomonadida; Viridiraptoridae.